Molecule: ribosomal RNA, 253 nt
Filed under: uncultured bacterium
Lineage: Bacteria
Description: partial 16S ribosomal RNA
Rfam family: Bacterial small subunit ribosomal RNA
Source: RNAcentral
UACGGGGGGGGCAAGCGUUGUUCGGAAUUACUGGGCGUAAAGGGCUCGUAGGUGGCCAACUAAGUCAGACGUGAAAUCCCUCGGCUUAACCGGGGAACUGCGUCUGAUACUGGAUGGCUUGAGUUCGGGAGAGGGAUGCGGAAUUCCAGGUGUAGCGGUGAAAUGCGUAGAUAUCUGGAGGAACACCGGUGGCGAAGGCGGCAUCCUGGACCGACACUGACACUGAGGAGCGAAAGCUAGGGGAGCAAACAGG